ACAUAGAAAGCGAGAAAGUUUGCAUAUGGUUUCGGCCCAUACCUUGGGGGUGUGAGUCCCUUUCUGUGUU
Molecule: transfer RNA, 70 nt
Filed under: Melo melo
Lineage: Eukaryota; Metazoa; Mollusca; Gastropoda; Neogastropoda; Volutidae
Description: tRNA-Arg
Source: RNAcentral